GACGAACGCUGGCGGCGUGCUUAACACAUGCAAGUCGAACGGAAAGGCCCUGCUUGCAGGGUGCUCGAGUGGCGAACGGGUGAGUAACACGUGGGUGAUCUGCCCCUUACUUUGGGAUAAGCCUGGGAAACUGGGUCUAAUACUGGAUAGGACCAUGCUGUAGGUGGUGUGGUGGAAAGAUUAGUUUCGGUAAGGGAUGAGCUCGCGGCCUAUCAGCUUGUUGGUGGGGUAAUGGCCUACCAAGGCGUCGACGGGUAGCCGGCCUGAGAGGGUGGACGGCCACAUUGGGACUGAGAUACGGCGCAGACUCCUACGGGAGGCAGCAGUGGGGAAUAUUGCACAAUGGGCGCAAGCCGGAUGCAGCGACGCCGCGUGGGGGAUGACGGCCUUCGGGUUGUAAACUCCUUUCAGCCAUGACGAAGCCCUUGUGGUGACGGUAGUGGUAGAAGAAGCACCGGCUAACUACGUG
This 469-nucleotide ribosomal RNA is filed under the name uncultured bacterium. Its description in RNAcentral is "partial 16S ribosomal RNA". It matches the Rfam family "Bacterial small subunit ribosomal RNA", at positions 28 to 507 of the family's 1533-position model. The record is from RNAcentral.